RNAcentral lists this ribosomal RNA (253 nucleotides) under uncultured bacterium. RNAcentral describes it as "partial 16S ribosomal RNA". It matches the Rfam family "Bacterial small subunit ribosomal RNA", at positions 524 to 776 of the family's 1533-position model. The record is from RNAcentral.
UACGUAGGCAGCAAGCGUUGUUCGGAGUUACUGGGCGUAAAGGGUGUGUAGGCGGUCUUCUAAGUUUGGUGUGAAAUCUCCCGGCUCAACUGGGAGGGUGCGCCGAAAACUGGGAGGCUAGAGUACUGGAUGGGAGAGUGGAAUUCCUAGUGUAGCGGUGAAAUGCGUAGAUAUCAGGAGGAACACCGGUGGUGUAGACGGCUCUCUGGACAGUAACUGACGCUGAGACACGAAAGCGUGGGUAGCAAACAGG